AAUUUGUCAACACACUUGUGGACCUGGUGCCAGUGCCUCAUUUUGGCUUCUUAGUAACAUCUAUACACCAGGGAGUAGGACUCAACCUACCGAACUUUGGAUAUCAUCUGGACCAUGGACAAUGGGAAAAUAAAUAGGCAAGGAGAAAAAUAAGCCCUUCUGAUUCCUUCACAGAGAAAGAGUAACCACUGCAUUGAAGAAACUGUUUCUCUCUUAUUACAUACGAGGGAGAUGCUUAAUUGCAACUAUCUGCACUGCUAAUAUCUAAAUUAGCACUUUUACUUGUGGAUGCUGUGGGUUCAGUCACAGUUUGGAGAUGUUUCCUUCCCCGUUGGGCCUGGGUGACUCUGUCCAAGUUCUAGAUUGAAGCACUGAACUUAUCCUCUUUUAAGGCUUCACCUGUUAUAACUAAACCAGUCAGCUCCUGACAGCUGGAUAAUGGCUCAGCUGAAGAACACACAUGGAGCAGGGUACUGCUGCAUGCAAAUGCCAUGGGAAAAACAGGAGACACAAGCACAGAAGGCAACCAGGAGGUUUUUAAGGACAAGUAAAAGGAGAUGAAAACAAGAAAAUGACUGAAAUGGAAAUCUCAAAGACUGCCAAUCAAGGAACAAUUUGAUUAUUCAUCACAAGCACUCUAGUUUCAAGAGUAAAAAGUCUUAAGUAAGAAGAGAUUAUGAUUACCUUUGUGGAAGCAGUUCAGCUGCCCAAGGAGCUGUGAUAAUGCCAUCAGAGCUGCACAGAAAAGCCUUCCUGACUGGCCCAGCUACUAUGGACAUAUAUCCUGAUGAAGCAAAAAAUGACAUUAGAAGUUUAUUUUUGGGCAGCUUUUUCCCUCAGUCAG
This 844-nucleotide long non-coding RNA is filed under the name Cyanistes caeruleus (blue tit). Its description in RNAcentral is "lncRNA (ENSCCEG00000008866.1)". The record is from RNAcentral. Lineage: Eukaryota; Metazoa; Chordata; Aves; Passeriformes; Paridae.